This 71-nucleotide transfer RNA is filed under the name Camelus bactrianus (Bactrian camel). It matches the Rfam family "tRNA". From Rfam's summary of the family: Transfer RNA (tRNA) molecules are approximately 80 nucleotides in length. Their secondary structure includes four short double-helical elements and three loops (D, anti-codon, and T loops). Further hydrogen bonds mediate the characteristic L-shaped molecular structure. tRNAs have two regions of fundamental functional importance: the anti-codon, which is responsible for specific mRNA codon recognition, and the 3' end, to which the tRNAs corresponding amino acid is attached (by aminoacyl-tRNA synthetases). tRNAs cope with the degeneracy of the genetic code in two manners: having more than one tRNA (with a specific anti-codon) for a particular amino acid; and 'wobble' base-pairing, i.e. permitting non-standard base-pairing at the 3rd anti-codon position. Lineage: Eukaryota; Metazoa; Chordata; Mammalia; Artiodactyla; Camelidae. RNAcentral also lists the same sequence under 1 other name. The record is from Rfam by way of RNAcentral.
GAGGGUGUAGCUCAGUGGUAGAGUGCGUGCUUAGCAUGCAUGAGGUCGUGGGUUCAAUCCCAGUACCUCCA